This is a long non-coding RNA of Fukomys damarensis (Damara mole-rat), 4352 nucleotides long. RefSeq lists it as uncharacterized. NCBI's taxonomy places the organism in Eukaryota, Metazoa, Chordata, Mammalia, Rodentia, Bathyergidae. The transcript has 5 exons. The record is from RefSeq and is a predicted model, not a curated record.
UGUCUCUCUGUCCUCGUCCUUUCAGGUUUAGGACCUGCUGGCAGGAUCCUGAUGUCGCGGCUCGCGACACAACAGGAAGGCCCGGGCAGUCAGGAAGGUCAGCCUCCAUGUCUCAUAGCAAGUUUGAGGAGGACUGAGAGGCCACCAAGAAUGCACAACACAUGCAAAAAGGAAAAUGGAAACCACUGCCCAACACCCAAUUUGUCCAUUGCCUUCCAUUUGAAGUGUAGUGUUCUUAGAGAAGCUUGAGCAAUUUCUAUGUCUGGGCUGUGCUUAUCAGAUGCUUUCAACAUGGCCGGCACCCACCGUCCACUGUGGGAAGCACCCACCUUCUGUGGAUAUUGCUGCAAAGCUCCAUGACCUCAACUUGGGAGGUUUAGGACCUGCUGGCAGGAUCCUGACGUCGCGGCUCGCGACACCCUCUUCUUUUGAAAUGGGAAAGAAAGGACUUGGAGCCCUGGAAGGUGAGGUUGGCGGCCUGGACAAUGACCUGGAAAAUAAAGACACUAGAACAGGGAAAGCAGUUGUGGACAAGUGAUACAGUUGUCCUGGUGGGACAUUCCCUCCUUUUCUGGCUUUGUUUCAGGAAAACCUGGUGACUGGAACCAGUUGCCAAAGGCAGAGACCAAAGAAAGAAGCAGACAAAGCCAUGGUUGCACAGGACACCACUUCUUAGUGACUUAGAGACAGUUGCGUCUUGGGCAGCAGCGAGACAGAAGGGGCCACUGCACCCCAAAGCAAGAAGAAGGGAUUUAUAUGAGUUCCUCUGUUGAACUAGACAAAGAUGGGCCAUGACCGGCUGUGCUGGGUUUUUUCAAAAACUAUAAACACAUCACGUGUCACUUAAGAGAGUCCGGGUCGGGCCCUGGCACAAUCUCUACGUUGUCUUGACAACUUUAUUCAUCUACAGGGCUUGAGAUAUGUGUUAGGGUCACUUGGGGGGCAGGGGGUGGUUACCACCGAAGGCUGUGGUCAUGACAAGCCAGAUCCCUAAAGGCCUCCCACUCAGCCUAAUCUCGGAGGAGGAAAACAGGAAAUCAAUAUGAGUUCAAAAAUUACUUUGUCGAGACUUCUCUUGGUCUCCACUCAGGCUUGAGUGUUCUUUCCUUUCUCAUCCUCACUCCCCAACUCAGGUAUGUUUGUGAUAUGACGGCUGGGCUGCCACAAGUGGCGCCUGAACAGGGACCUGAGUAUCGAGGGAGCCAGUGAAAGACACCGCAGAGAGGAGCCAGGCCUCAACGAAAAGCACACAGAUGUCAGCCUUUUCAGGCAAUGGAAAGAGUGAUGCUAAAUAUGUGAAACUAUGCAGGAAUUACAAAGAAACUCUGAUCACCUUUCAGGGGAUCCAAAUGGACAUUCCUCAGUUAUGACUUACUCCCAAAUAGAAGAUGAGCCACCAGAGGUUUUCCAGGCCUCAACUCAAACCCGUAGGGCUCCAGGAGGAAUAAAGGAAACCAGGAAAGCAGUGAGAGAUUCUGACAGUGGACUAGAAAAAAUGGCUGUCGCUCAUCAUAGCCACUACCCAGCUCAUGUUAUUAAAAAGUCAAAGAACAAGAAGACUCAUGAUGCGCCCCAAGUCAUUCCUCGGGGAUCAGCGGAGCCUCCCCGCCCCUGCAGCUUCCUGUGUGAUCUGUACGACUGUGGACGUGGACCACGGGCCUUAGGGCGCCGAGGUAACAGGAUCAUUCCCUGCCUUUGUGGGCAGAUGUGGGUGUCCAUGGAGACUCGCCAAGGAGUACACAACCUGGAGCUGCGCCGGCCAAAACCGCCAGGCCCUGACGGCCACAGUGCCGCGGGGCCUUUGUAGUGCGGGCCUGUGCGUCCACGUGGUGAGAAAAUAACCACACGGGGUCCGCACAGGUCGGCAGGGCUGGCGCAGGUCAGCGAUGCCCCUCCUGACCGGGAGCGACAGGAAAGCAAGACCCUCCCGCGCCUGCCGGGUCUGACUGGGCGAGGGAGUCGCCCGGCAGUUGUCCUAGUGAUGCGUGAGCGAGGCCAGGACCCGGUGAGCCAGCCGGGCCACGGCCACAGUGUGGGUGAACGAAACGGCGAUCUGGACACCCAGUCCCGCGAAUGAACGACGUCGCGCGGAUGCCUCCUGCAGUGACAGCCGUUACAGCCCUUAGCUCGGAAGUUCCAAGGAGUGACGGUCACGUGGGGCCUCUGGGCGGCGACCGGAAGCAAGGGCUCGGGCCCUGUGUCGCACUGGCUGUGACGGCGACGCGGAUUGGGCGGCAUGGAAGCCCCGGAGGGCGGGUCCCCGAAGGAGGAAGCGGCCCUGAGAGUGCGCCCUCCAGUGGCGGUUUUGUCACCGGCCCUUUCCUCCCGCCCUCUGCUGCCUCCUCAGGAGGCGAACGGCUUUGCUUCGCACACUCCCUCCUGUCGCGGUCUGCCGCACCGUGGGCCAUAAACAGAGCCAAAUGACAACGGGCAGAAACUUCUGGAACCAGGGGCCACAAGAAGUCUUUCCUCCUUUGAGCUGUCCUGUCUCACAGCGAUAAGAAGCCGGCUAACAGGGUACAAGCGUGACGGUCUUCUGUAGGAACGAGGAAAGGAAGGGACGAUGCUCCCAUCCCCUGCCCACUCCACGCCAUUCCCAGUGCCACGAUGCUCUUGUCCAGUGGCCCAGGGUGAGGCCAAAGGCUGCAGCUUCUGCAAGGAUCCGCUGUGCCUGCUACUUAACGAAACCAUCCAGCCUCAGCAUCUUAAGCUGGGGCAGGAGGUCACAUUCUGAACAAUUGAGUAGAUCUUACAGUAUUUUGCACCUGCAUUGCGGGAUGGAAGGUCCAGGGUGCAAGCAGAGAACACUAGUGCCCCGACAUUGUCACCCCUUUUCCUGUCCUAACAUGAGAACCUGUAAAGGGGCGAUCAAGGGGUAGCGUUGCCUCCAGGUGUCAGUCAGGAGUCCGACCGUGGCUCCACUGCAGCCCAGACCAAUCCUGGGUGGGACGUUCUAAUGGGGAGAGAGAUGCCCAAUCCAGCUCUAAUUUACCUGAGCACAUGGCAGAAAUGUUUUACUAAAGGCAAGAGAGUGGUUCUCACAUCUACCUGGUGUGCCAGAAUGGCAGUCCCAUGUCUAGCAUGUGCCGUGGUGGUGAAGUACCACUGAAAGCCAUGACUGGGUAGCAGUGUCGAACGUGGUUAAUUAGCCACACUGGGAGGGCCCUGCAUGCAGCUCCAUCAGCCUGCCACGUUGCAUGAUGUCAGCUAGUGAUGUGUUGUAUCUUCAGCUUCCAUUUCUUUCAGGGCCAAAAAAUGAAAAGUCAUUGAUACAGUGGGUGACAAGUACCUGGGCAUGCUACACACCAGGGAAAUUCAAGGAUUGCUAUGGAUUGAAUUAUCUUCCUCAGAACUCAAUGACUUCUCUUGAAUAUUGAGAGCUCAACCAAAGCCAUGAUGAGGCAAACCCUGUCUGACAGAUCUGCAGUCAGGACUUCUUUUAAGCUUUAGACAAUAUAGCUGUGACUGUUGUGAUACAUCAGUCAGGCUUCCGUAAGAGCCACCUAUCAGGUUAGUAAAUCUGGGUGUACCAUGGGUGACUGACACGUAGGUCAGCAAGUCGGGUGGGGAAGAGCCACCCUGGAUAUGGGUGAUACCAACCGACAGACUUGUGGCUUGGGUAGAAGAGGUGGGGGCGAGCUCCGCUUGUUUCAGAGGAGUUCUGGUCUCCACCACUGCCUCUGGAUGUUGGCCUCCAGCUCCUUCCUUCCUCCAGCACUGACUCCUCAGCCCUCAGACAUGGAUGAGCCCUGGUGACUCUGCAGUGAUCUUCCAGACCUCUGAUCCCGACAGCUAUUGGAGCCUUCAGUUCUCCAGUGUGCAGAUGGUCAUUUUGGAUUCUUUUGUCUCUGAUCCAGCAGACAGACACUGGGAUUCUUUCUUCUGAUCUGGACUUUGUUGUAUAGCCCAAGAUAGUCUUGAACUCACAAUAUCGCCCGGGACAGCCUUGAACUUGUGGAUCCUCCCGAGUGCUGGGACUACAGUGUGUGCCGUCAUGUCUGGCACAGCACGAUAAUGUUGGAUGUUCAAGCCCACAGAACUGUGAGGAAUAACUCUGUUGUUCAGGUCACCCAGCUUAUGACAUUUUAUUAUAGCAGCUUCAACUGACUAAAAUAGUUGCUAGAGCUAUGUAUCUCCCAAUCCCCUACCCAUGUCCCAGAACAAUUUGCCACAAGUAUUCCUAAAAACCCUUUAAGUAAUAAUUCUCCUUAUGCAAAUUAUCCUCAGCAUGAAAAGAUAAAACAAAUCUCCCAAAUUCAUUUUACAAAACCAGCAAAACAUUAUCAGAUUGGACUGUUCUGAACUUAAUAACACACACACACACACACACACACACACACAAAAAAAAAAAA